AUGUUAACUCAUGCAUGCCGACAGCCGCCACCAUGCUCCAGCUGCCUCAGGCUUCAGGGUGAUGAAUUAGUCAAGCUAUUAAAUGGCAGCGACGUUCCUCACACACGCUUCCAAUGCAGAAUUGCUGGCAGGGCCAUCAUCACCUAUGUCAUGAACUGCUACUACAAGCCCUCAAGAGGAGGAGGUGAAGAUGGAGCGCAAUGGUGGCGGUCUUGGCCUUGCUCUCACUAUUAUGGCUGCCAUCUGGCUUCUCUGCCGCAUCGUUGUUUUUGCCAGCAGCGGCGGCUCUUUGCUGUCGAUUGA
This 303-nucleotide ribosomal RNA is filed under the name Triticum aestivum (bread wheat). RNAcentral describes it as "partial small subunit ribosomal RNA". The record is from RNAcentral. Lineage: Eukaryota; Viridiplantae; Streptophyta; Magnoliopsida; Poales; Poaceae.